UACAGAGGUCUCAAGCGUUGUUCGGAUUCAUUGGGCGUAAAGGGUGCGUAGGCGGCGCGGUAAGUCGGGUGUGAAAUCUCGGGGCUUAACUCCGAAACUGCAUUCGAUACUGCCGUGCUUGAGGACUGGAGAGGAGACUGGAAUUUACGGUGUAGCGGUGGAAUGCGCAGAUAUCAGGAGGAACACCGGUGGCGAAGGCGGGUCUCUGGGCAGUAACUGACGCUGAGGAGCGAAAGCGUGGGGAGCGAACAGG
RNAcentral lists this ribosomal RNA (253 nucleotides) under uncultured bacterium. RNAcentral's name for it is "partial 16S ribosomal RNA". It matches the Rfam family "Bacterial small subunit ribosomal RNA", at positions 524 to 776 of the family's 1533-position model. The record is from RNAcentral.